UCCAGUCCCUCGCUCCUUCCUUAGAAAGUCUGAAACACACACACAGCUGGGGAAUUCUUUCCUUGCACACGACAAAAAUGCUCUCCUGGUAUACUUUCAUCAUCCUUCUUGCAUCCUUCAAGGGGGCCCAGUUUCAAGCCGUUGUGACCCAGUCAGAUCCUGUGGUGAAGCGACCAGGAGAAUCAACCCAACUGACCUGCACCAUGGACAAGGCGGACCAGUGGUGGAUGUCGUGGCUUCGACAAGAACCUGGGAAAUCUCCUGAGUGGCUGAUCAGCUACUGGAAACCGUCAGUCACAAACUACUACUCUCCCACCAUUCGGGACCGGUUCACGGCCUCAAAGGAUGGCUCAAAGUUCUACCUGCAGAUGACAGCCCUUCAGCCCCAAGACACUGCUGUGUAUUACUGCACGAGGAGAGAGGCACAGUGA
Non-coding RNA from Pogona vitticeps (central bearded dragon), 431 nucleotides. Lineage: Eukaryota; Metazoa; Chordata; Lepidosauria; Squamata; Agamidae. The record is from the annotation of a RefSeq genome assembly.